This 2713-nucleotide long non-coding RNA is filed under the name Homo sapiens (human). RNAcentral's name for it is "HSALNT0165982". Lineage: Eukaryota; Metazoa; Chordata; Mammalia; Primates; Hominidae. The record is from RNAcentral.
GGACGCCCUUCUGCUGCCAAAGCUGGCUGGUGGUUCUUUCUGGAAUGGCAGCUUUCCCCAUCCCCCUUCAGGCUUGGGUCGAUCUUCUGGCAGGCAAACGUACUAAAGAGUUACAGGUGGUGCAGAUACGGUUUGGAAGGAAUCCCAGCUGGGCCUCCUCCCAGAAGCCUUCUGAUCACUCACCAGAUAACUCUAGCUGCUUGCAGAGUCCUGGGAAUCUUAGCUUCUCCAGGAAACCAGCUUCAAGGGCAACAAGAGGUUCUGAGGAGCUAGAAUAAUCUCGGAAGCUGAAACUGCUUUGUCCUUUUGCUUCCUUAGGUUGGAAAUAUUUUUGCAAUACCACUGAAUCCUCCAGUUUUUACCCCUUACGAUGGGAAGUGAAUACAGUAUGAAAAGGGAGUGGGACAUAUGAGAGGAACGACAGGCUCAAAAUAUGAAGACUUAAUCCAGACACCUCUGUGUCUCUGAACUUGCGUUGUUUCUUCUUUGGAGGUGAAGUACACAUCGUUUUACUCCGGGCAGAGGACUUGUGCUCCUUUUGAGAACUUUCAGCUCUGUAGUGUCGAGUCUUCUGGUUUCCAGAUCCACAUCCUGCCCUGGGGGAAUUGACAUCCAUCAGCUUCUUCUAGGAAAGCACUCUGAAGCCAAGUUGAAACAUUAUACUCUCAGGCAGUAGUAGAGAUCAACCUCUUAAAACCAAAUCCAUGGGCCCAGGAGUAUGGAAAAGAGUUCAAUAAAAUGGCCUUAACUGGUAUAAGAAGUUACAAUUGUUAAAAGGAGAUUCAGCUGUGAUAGCAAAAGAGAAAGAAAAUGAAAAAGUUGUCCUGGCUCAUCUCUGGAAAGACAUGAUAUUUCAUAACCUCAAGGUGUUUGCUUCUGACCUAUAACUUCAAUUAUAGACCAGGUUAUCCAAAAGUUCUCCUUAUUAACAAGAAUUAUCAGUCUGAUACGUGGUAAGUAAGUGGUUUCUAGGUAUUUAAUAUGCCUUUUCCUGAUAACUAAUUUGCCAGAUAGAUUUUCCAAAAAUGGUUGCAACAAUAUCUCCCAUCCCUGAUUCUCUUCUUAAAUAUGACUUUGACAACUUUUCUAUCAAGAGGUAGGGUCUAUAUCCCCUUCCCUUGAAACUAAGAGGGUCUGUGGUUAAGGCAGAACUGACACUCAGUGACUUUUGAGCUAAGUCAUAAAAGAUGAUACAACUUAUGGCUGGUUCUGACUCAAUCUUGGAACCCAGCCAUCAUGUUGUGAAGAAUCUCAGGACAUUUACAGAGGCUUCAUAGGUUUCUGGCAGACAGCUCCAGCUUACAACAGCAUCAACCAACAGACUUGUGAGUGAAGAUGGCUCCUGAAGGUAUCAGCCCCCCGCUGUCCAGUCACCUCCCAGCUUUUGAGUCUUUCCAGCCGAGACCCCAGACACCAAGGCACAGAGACAAACGUCUGCAUUGUAACCUGUCCAAAAUUCUGACCCACAGAGUUCUUGGCAUAAUAUAAUGAUUGUUUUAUGUCACUAAAGUUUGGAGUGGCUUGUCACAUUGCAAUAAAAAAUUGCAACAACGAAGGAGGUUGAUUAUCUUUUCAUGCUUAUUGAUCAUUUGCAUUUCUUCUGUGUACUGUCUAUUCACAAAUUUUGCCUGUUUGACUCUUGGGUUAUUUGUCUUGCUCAUAUUUUCUGCAUAUUAAUCCUACUUUUGUUACCUAUAUUGCAAAUGUAUUCAACCAGUUGCUUGCUAGGUAAUAGAGAAAUUUGAGUUUUAUGUAUCCGUUCAUUGUUUUCAUUUUUUAGUCUUGGGGUUUUGUAUCUUUUUUUUUUUUUUUUUUUUUUUUUUUGAGACGACGGAGUCUCUCUCUGUCACCCAGGCUGGAGUGCAGUGGCGUGAUCUCCGCUCACUGCAAGCUCUGCCUCCCGGGUUCAUGCUGUUUUCCUGCCUCAGCCUCCCAAAUAGCUGGGACCACAGGCGCCCGCCACCAUGCCCAGCUAAUUUUUUUUUUUUUUGUAUUUUUUAGUAGAGACGGGGUUUCACUGUGUUAGCCAGGAUGGUCUCGAUCUCCUGACCUCGUGAUCCGCCAGCCUCGGCCUCCCGAAGUGCUGGGAUUACAGGCGUGAGCCACUGUGCCCGGCCGGUUUUGUGUCUUUUUUAGAAAAAGGCUUUCCCAUUUGAAGAAUAUAAAAAUAUCCUAUACUUUCUUCUAGCACUUUUAUACCUUUUCUUAUUCAUCAUAAGAUCAGUCUCUGACUCUAUCUUGAAUUUAUUAUUUUACAUGGUAUGGGACAGUGAAAAUCUAACUCUUUUUAGAUGGAUAGUCAGUUGUCUCUGUACCAUUUAUUUAAAUCAUCCAUUCUUUUUCCAUUGAUUUGAAAUGCCUCCUUUAUGAACUAAAUUCUUAAAUAAAUAUAUGUCUAUUUCUAGACUGUCUAUUCUGAACCAUUAAACUGUUUGAUCAUUACUACAAAAGUGCCAUUUUAUUUUAAUUUAUAUAGCUUUUUGAUAUGUUCUGAUAUCCAGUAGAACGCAUAGUAUAGUCUAAUUUUUCUUCCCCCAGAAAUAUCUUUGCAGAUUUUAAGAAUUUCGUCUUUCAGAUAAAUUUCAGAAUAAACUCGCCAAGUGCCUUGCUUGGCACUUAAGUCACAGCCUUGCUUUGACUUAAUAAAUUAAUGUGUAGCAAACUGACAUAUUUAUUAUGUCUUCUUGUAUAUUAACAUGGUAUAUUUCCCCAU